AACGAACGCUGGCGGCGCGUCUUAUACAUGCAAGUCGAACGAUCUGUAGCAAUACAGGGAGUGGCGGACGGGUGAGGAACACGUAGGAAUCUACCUCGAAGAGCGGGACAACUUUGGGAAACCGGGGCUAAUACCGCAUAGUACAGAGAUGUUAAAGGGCUAGCAAUAGUCGCUUCGAGAUGAGCCUGCGGUCUAUCAGCUUGCUGGUGAGGUAAUGGCUCACCAAGGCAACGACGGAUAGCCGGUCUGAGAGGAUGAUCGGCCACACUGGCACUGAGACACGGGCCAGACUCCUACGGGAGGCAGCAGUUAAGAAUCUUGCGCAAUGGGGGCAACCCUGACGCAGCGACGCCGCGUGAAGGAUGAAGGCUUUCGGGUUGUAAACUUCGGUAGACUGGGAAGAAGAACUACGUUCGUUGAGGGCGUAGAGUGACGGUACCAGUCUGAAGCCCCGGCUAAUUACGUG
Molecule: ribosomal RNA, 466 nt
Filed under: uncultured bacterium
Lineage: Bacteria
Description: bacterial SSU rRNA
Rfam family: Bacterial small subunit ribosomal RNA
Source: RNAcentral